This 459-nucleotide ribosomal RNA is filed under the name uncultured Prevotella sp. RNAcentral describes it as "bacterial SSU rRNA". It matches the Rfam family "Bacterial small subunit ribosomal RNA", at positions 339 to 795 of the family's 1533-position model. The record is from RNAcentral. Lineage: Bacteria; Pseudomonadati; Bacteroidota; Bacteroidia; Bacteroidales; Prevotellaceae.
CCACGGGCGGCUGCAGUGAGGAAUAUUGGUCAAUGGACGAAAGUCUGAACCAGCCAAGUAGCGUGCAGGAUGACGGCCCUCCGGGUUGUAAACUGCUUUAGUUCGGGAAUAACGACGGGGACGUGUCCCUGGAACGAAUGUACCGAAAGAAUAAGGACCGGCUAAUUCCGUGCCAGCAGCCGCGGUAAUACGGAAGGUCCAGGCGUUAUCCGGAUUUAUUGGGUUUAAAGGGAGCGUAGGCGGACUGUUAAGUCAGCGGUUAAAGAGUGUGGCUCAACCAUACGAUGCCGUUGAAACUGGUGGUCUUGAGUGCACACAGGGAUGCUGGAACUCGUGGUGUAGCGGUGAAAUGCUUAGAUAUCACGAUGAACUCCGAUCGCGAAGGCAGGUGUCCGGGGUGUAACUGACGCUGAGGCUCGAAAGUGUGGGUAUCAAACAGGAUUAGAUACCUUUGUAGUC